CAGCAGCCGCGGUAAUACGAAGGGGGCUAGCGUUGUUCGGAAUUACUGGGCGUAAAGCGCACGUAGGCGGACUUUUAAGUCAGGGGUGAAAUCCCGGGGCUCAACCUCGGAACUGCCUUUGAUACUGGAAGUCUUGAGUGUGGAAGAGGUAAGUGGAAUUGCGAGUGUAGAGGUGAAAUUCGUAGAUAUUCGCAGGAACACCAGUGGCGAAGGCGGCUUACUGGUCCACAACUGACGCUGAGGUGCGAAAGCGUGGGGAGCAAACAGGAUUAGAUACCCGCGUAGUCCCUGUCUCUUAUAC
RNAcentral lists this ribosomal RNA (301 nucleotides) under uncultured bacterium. RNAcentral describes it as "partial 16S ribosomal RNA". It matches the Rfam family "Bacterial small subunit ribosomal RNA", at positions 509 to 807 of the family's 1533-position model. The record is from RNAcentral.